UGGCGGGCUAUGACAGCUUCACCGUCAAGGGCAUACCCGUUGCCCAGGACACCGCUCUGGUACAACUCGGCGUCAGUGCCAAACUGGCCCCGCAAGCCA
RNAcentral lists this transfer RNA (99 nucleotides) under compost metagenome. RNAcentral describes it as "tRNA-Gly". The record is from RNAcentral.